Xyrichtys novacula (pearly razorfish) is the source of this 813-nucleotide non-coding RNA. The record is from the annotation of a GenBank genome assembly. Lineage: Eukaryota; Metazoa; Chordata; Actinopteri; Labriformes; Labridae.
CAGCUGGAGAACAUUGAGAAGCUUACAAAAGCACAAAGCAAAGUACAGGUAUGUUGGAUCAAUAACAUACAAUGGUUUUGUCCUCACAGGUAUAUGAAAAUAUGUUUUGCAUGUGUAAAGAAAUUAAAAAAAAAAUUUUUUUUUCAUCCCUUACAGCUCUGGCAUGAUAUGCGUAGAGUGCGCAUUACAGCAAGCACAGCUAGAAAAGUGCCAAUUCGCUCAACCACCUCACCUGAGAAGUUUUUAUCAGAGCAUCUAUAUCCAACCUUCCAUGGCAAUGCUGCAACACGCCAUGGAGCAGUGAGUGAAGAACACGCAAGGCAAUUUUUAAAUACACAAGGCCAUACCAUUGAAAACAAAGGCCUUGUGGUGUGCCCAGCCGAACCAUGGCUCGCAGCAAGUCCAGACGGAGUGAUGAACAAAGAGAUGCUGCUGGAGAUCAAAUCACCUGUGCUGGGGAAGAAGUCGCUCAGAGAGGCACUGGCUACGAAGAAUGCUGAAGUCACACCCCUAGCCGACGGACAUUACCUCCUUGCCUCCAAUGGUCCUAAAGGCUACUACAUGCAGGUGCAACUGGGCAUGCACUGCACAGGGCUUCCACGUGCAUUGUUGGUGAUCUGGAACAACACUGAACACAUAGAAAUCCAAGUACCUUAUGACAAACACUUCCUUCAGACGCAUAUUACAAGGCUGCGCACAUUCUACUUCACUCACAUGCUUCCUAAAAUCGUUGAUGAUUUUGUCAAGGGGCGCUUACAGUUGUGCAAUACAUAUCUCACUCUUAAAUAAGCAAUGCACACAAACAACUUUCAG